GUGAAGCCUGCGGUUCAAUUGGAGUCAACGCCAGAAAUCUUACCCGGAGAGACAGCAGAAUGAAGGUCAAGCUGAAGACUUUACCAGACAAGCUGAGAGGUGGUGCAUGGCCGUCGCCAGCUCGUGCCGUGAGAUGUCCUGUUAAGUCAGGUAACGAGCGAGAUCCCUGCCUCUAGUUGCCACCAUUACUCUCAGGAGUAGUGGGGCGAAUUAGCGGGACCGCCGCAGUUAAUGCGGAGGAAGGAAGGGGCCACGGCAGGUCAGUAUGCCCCGAAACUCUGGGGCCACACGCGGGCUGCAAUGGUAACGACAAUUGGUUUCGAAUCCGAAAGGAUGAGGUAAUCCUCAAACGUUACCACAGUUAUGACUGAGGGCUGCAACUCGCCCUCACGAAUAUGGAAUCCCUAGUAACUGC
This 415-nucleotide ribosomal RNA is filed under the name uncultured marine group I thaumarchaeote. RNAcentral's name for it is "bacterial SSU rRNA". It matches the Rfam family "Archaeal small subunit ribosomal RNA", at positions 888 to 1301 of the family's 1478-position model. The record is from RNAcentral. Lineage: Archaea; Thermoproteati; Nitrososphaerota.